Molecule: long non-coding RNA, 409 nt
Organism: Actinia tenebrosa (Australian red waratah sea anemone)
Lineage: Eukaryota; Metazoa; Cnidaria; Anthozoa; Actiniaria; Actiniidae
Source: RefSeq, a predicted model, not a curated record
AGACAAUGACAGGGUGUGUCCCAUCCAUCACUUUUAURCUAUAUAAAUCAACCACAAGUCAGCAUUAGUUGAUUGUGAAUGCUUAAGGAGAGCUGUACGAGUGUCAAGUAUUGAAGCUGGAAAACAAUACAUCAAAGAAGAUGAGAUUUGCAGUGUUUUGUCUGUUCGCUGCCUUAUGUUUGAUGGUUGUGCCGAAUGAAGUCGUCGGUAGACCGCCUAGCCAAUACUGCAAGAUAGUGUGUAACAACGUUCUGACCGACUGCCUGACAUCUGGAAAGACCUCACCUAGUUCUUGCUAUGAAAUGGAAUAUUUCUGCCUUUAUUCAUGUUAACUGCCCCAGCACGUGAUGAAAAAAUUAUAGAAUAUAAUUAUAUACAAUUGUAAAUUAAAAUAAAACGAUCAACUGAA